RNAcentral lists this ribosomal RNA (450 nucleotides) under uncultured bacterium. RNAcentral's name for it is "bacterial SSU rRNA". It matches the Rfam family "Bacterial small subunit ribosomal RNA", at positions 354 to 796 of the family's 1533-position model. The record is from RNAcentral.
GUGGGGAAUAUUGGACAAUGGGGGCAACCCUGAUCCAGCGACGCCGCGUGUGUGAAGAAGGCCUGCGGGUUGUAAAGCACUUUUAGUGGGGAAGAAAUGUUCAGGGUUAAUACCCCUGGAUCUUGACGUAACCCAAAGAAAAAGCACCGGCUAACUCUGUGCCAGCAGCCGCGGUAAUACAGAGGGUGCAAGCGUUAAUCGGAAUUACUGGGCGUAAAGCGUGCGUAGACGGUUAUCUAAGUCGGGUGUGAAAGCCCCGGGCUCAACCUGGGAAUUGCAUUCGAGACUGAAUAGCUAGGGUACGGAAGAGGGAAGCGGAAUUUCAGGUGUAGCGGUGAAAUGCGUAGAUAUCUGAAGGAACACCAGUGGCGAAAGCGGCUUCCUGGUCCAGUACCGACGUUCAGGCACGAAAGCGUGGGGAGCAAACAGGAUUAGAUACCCUUGUAGUCC